AGUGGAGCAAUCCAUGAGUACAGUGGCGUACGGGUGAGUAACACGUGACUACCUACCCUCGAGUGGGGAAUAACCUCGGGAAACCGGGGCUAAUACCGCAUAAUGUCUUCGGACCAAAUGCGUAAGCAGCUUGAGGAGGGGGUCGCGGCCGAUUAGCUAGUUGGUGAGGUAAUGGCCCACCAAGGCAAUGAUCGGUAGCCGGCCUGAGAGGGCGCACGGCCACACUGGAACUGAAACACGGUCCAGACUCCUACGGGAGGCAGCAGUGGGGAAUUUUGCGCAAUGGGGGAAACCCUGACGCAGCAACGCCGCGUGGAGGAUGAAGCCCCUUGGG
Molecule: ribosomal RNA, 334 nt
Filed under: uncultured bacterium
Lineage: Bacteria
Description: bacterial SSU rRNA
Rfam family: Bacterial small subunit ribosomal RNA
Source: RNAcentral